UGUUUAGGCCAAACUCAGAACCUACCUAGCUUCAACCUUAUCUCCAUCGAUCUCACCUCCUUCAAGCUCAACCUCCGGCUCCUCGACGCCGACCGCUUUGUAUUGCUGAGAUGAAGAACAUGGAUGGAAGGAAAGGUCAGAGAAGUCGAAAAAUUACCAGGAGAUUGCCAGAUUUUAGGAAUUUGUAGACUUGGUAAUUGCUAAUCUAAGAUUAUGGAGGUUGGGGGGUUCAUUUGCUUCUGCAUGAGGAGCUCGAACUGUUGCUGGUGUUUAUUGCAGAAGCACUCGAAGAUCAGAUCGAGACCCAUAUUGAUCUUCUUGAUAAAAAACUCAGAUCGAAACCCAGCCGGCCUGGACUUGAUGGCUUAUGCUCAAAUCGGGUCUGGAAAUACGGUGGCGUUUUGCUUCCCGAUUUGCAGUUUGAGGUCGGGUUGAGGAUGGAGAUGGGUCUGAGGUUCGAUCUGAUUCAGCUGACUCAAAUCUGGCUGACUCAGCUGAUUCGAAUUGAGUCCGAUCCGAUUCUAUAACGAUUCUCUACGUUUUUUGACAGGUUCAGCCAUGAAAGAUGGGAAAUCCAGAGCCGCGGUGCCGAAAUGAUCCGAUAGAAGCUGGUGUUCUUCAUGCCUCGAUAUGCUUCAGGUUUUCUACUUGAACAAUUCUAGCUAUGGUUGAAUUUGAUUGUUUGUACGAGAAUGGUUGAUAAAUCUUAUUACCUGUAGAAUAGAAAAGUAGAAGGGCAUUUUGUUAAAUGCAUGAGAGCUUUCUUAUUGUGCGAGUGCAAAAUUUAUAGGCAACAUGGAGUAAUAGAAAAUUUACUCUUUGUUGAUGGGAUCAUAGAUGUUACUUCAUCUGCAACUUGUUUAUUUAUAUGUUUCAUCAAAGAUUCAUUUUUGCUGUUUUUAUGACUUGAUAUUGACAUAAUGUUAUCUUCCUUU
Molecule: long non-coding RNA, 935 nt
Organism: Rosa rugosa (rugosa rose)
Lineage: Eukaryota; Viridiplantae; Streptophyta; Magnoliopsida; Rosales; Rosaceae
Exons: 2
Source: RefSeq, a predicted model, not a curated record